Molecule: non-coding RNA, 387 nt
Organism: Neoarius graeffei (lesser salmon catfish)
Lineage: Eukaryota; Metazoa; Chordata; Actinopteri; Siluriformes; Ariidae
Source: the annotation of a RefSeq genome assembly
AUGUUCUCUCCAUCUCGACUGCUCCUGCUGGCAACUGCUUCCUAUGUGUUCUGUGCUACUGAGCUCAUCCAGCCAGACUCAGUGGUGAUAAAGCCAGGAGAGACUUUAACCAUCACCUGUAGAGUGUCUGGAGCUUCUAUCACUGAUAGCAGCAACCACUAUGGAACAGCUUGGAUUCGACAACCUGCAGGAAAACCUUUGGAAUGGAUCAACACCAUUUAUUAUGAUGGGAACAUUGAAAAGAAAGAUUCACUGAAAGACAAGUUUGUUGUUUCUCGAGACACUUCCAGUAACACUGUGACCUUACGGGGACAGAACAUGCAGAGUGAAGACACAGCUCUGUAUUACUGCACUCGAAGACCACACAGAAAUGCCUCAUGUCUCUAA